This is a non-coding RNA of Lolium perenne, 4805 nucleotides long. NCBI's taxonomy places the organism in Eukaryota, Viridiplantae, Streptophyta, Magnoliopsida, Poales, Poaceae. The record is from RefSeq and is a predicted model, not a curated record.
CCUGGUCCAAAUAAUCGAAGGAAAAAGGAAAGAAAUCUCACCCCUCACCUCUCUCCUGCGACUUCACCUAGCGAGUAGCGACGGCGCCGCCCCUCUCGCUCGUUCCACCGCCGCUGCCCUCCCGGUGCUGCCCCCGCCAUCCCGCGGGCAGUGCCUAAGCCCCUCCCUCUGGCCACCGCUGCGCCUCAGGCCCUCCCCAUCCUCCGACGUACGGUCCUGCCGCAACCUCCCCCCUCCGUCAGGUCCGCCGUCGUCGCCGUCCUCCGCGCUGCCUGGACACUCGACGGGUUUCUGCUUCUCCAAAGCAGGUUCGGAGGCAUCUUAGAGCCAGAGAGAGGCCUAGAGUAGUUUUCUUGGUUUUCGGAUUGGGCAUCAGAGAGUGGCGGCUGCUGCUGGCUGGUUUGUUGGUUCUUGAUUUGCUUCUGUGAGACGCGAGAGAGGGUAUUAAGGGAGAGAGCAAUGGAGGUCGAGGAGCAGGCGAUGAUGGAGUCCCAUGGGGUGGAACUCGAGGACGACAGCAUCAAUUUCUGGGCCUCCCUCGGUGUGAGCACCCAUGUCCAUGGCGUCGACCAGAUGGCGCUUCACAACGUCCACAUUCUCGACCACCAAGUACAGUCGCCGGCGGCGGCGUCGGCUGUGGUCUCACACCCGCAAUCUGUCUGCAAGGAGCUGUUCCCUGGCCAAGCCGACCCCUGCCUGGAGCCCCGGGUGGGUAUGGAAUUCGAGUCGGGUGAGGCUGCCAAGACCUUCUACAUUGCUUAUGCCGGCCGUGUUGGGUUCUCUGUCCGCAUUGCUAGGUCCCGCAAGUCCAAGGGCAGCGAGUCCAUCAUCAUGCUAAGGUUUGUUUGCUCAAAGGAAGGGUUCAGCAAGGAGAAGCGUGUUGUUGAGGGGAAGAAGACAAGGAAGAGGCCAGCCUCCAUCAGGGAGGGCUGCAACGCCAUGCUUGAGGUGCUCCGCAGAGGCGACAACAAGUGGGUUGCUACCAAGCUUGUCAAGGAGCAUAACCAUGAGGUUGGGAUGCCCAGCACAGUGCACUAUAUAGCCACUGAGAGCGAUACUGUGGUUGACCCAUACAUUGACAUGGAGUUUGAAUCCCUUGAGUCUGCCAAGACAUUCUACUACUCCUAUGCUAUCCGUGUGGGAUUUGAAGUUCGUGUUCGCCAGUCUCGAAAGUCGCAAGAUGAGUCACUCAAAAUGCUGAAGCUUGUGUGCUCAAGGCACCGCUACCAUUCAGGACGGGAAAUUGGGGGAGACGAUAACAAGAGAGUGCAAUCCUCGGAUCCCUGCAGAGACGGCUGUGAUGCACAGUUUGAGAUAAUUCGGAAGGAGAAAGCUGUCUGGAUUGUCUCCAAACUCAUCCUAGAGCAUACUCAUGAGCUGAGCCCUGCACCGGCGAGCAAAGUUUGCUGUGUCCGCUCACAAGGUGAGACACUUGUCAUUGCAAAGAACUUUGCUGACACACGAAAUCUUCUAUUGAAUGGCCAAUAUUCUCAGCAUCAUAGAGAGAUCCGCUAUAAUGAUUUGGGGCCAGAGGAUGCUCAAAGCUUACUUGAAUAUCUUAAAAAGGCCCAGGCCGAGGACCCUGCAUUUUUCUAUGCUGUGCAGCUUGACAAGCAUGAGCACAUGGUCAAUAUCUUCUGGGCUGAUGCGAGCGUUAGGAUGGCUUAUUACCACUUUGGUGAUGCUGUUAGGUUUGAGACAGCAUCCAGGAGUAACAAAGAGCAUAUACCUAUUGUCAUAUUUUCAGGUGUCAAUCAUCAUGUCCAGCCUGUUAUUUUUGGCUGUGCACUACUUGUUGAUGAAUCUGAAGAGUCAUUUGUAUGGUUAUUUGAAAAAUGGCUUGAAGCAAUGCAUGGGAGGCCUCCUGUUUCUUUGGUAACAGAACUGAACCAAGAGAUGGCAGCUGCAGCUGUCAAGGUAUUACCUGACACCUGUCAUAUUUUCUGUGAAAAUCAUAUAUUAGGCACUGUGAAGGAGGAGUUGCAUAGUAUUUAUCCAGGACUAGACCAUUUCAUUACUGAUCUGAGAAACUGCAUUGAUGGAUGCAGAAUAGAAGAAUCAUUUGAAUCAUGCUGGGAAUCAGUUCUCAUUAAACAUGGCUUUAGAAAUAAUGAACAUUUACGGUCUCUUUAUGAUAUUCGUAAACAAUGGGCCCCUGCGUACACAAAGAAAUCAUUUCAUGCCAGAAACCUGCUUCCACAAAGCGGUGAAAAUCUUGAAAAGAUUAGAGAUAUGUACUUCUCGUCCAGUACACAAUUACAGGUGGCUGUGCAGCAACUUGGACAAGCUAUUUGUAAUUUCCAUGCAAAAGAAGCUCAAGCGGAUUAUCUGACAAUGUUUGAAAUACCAGCACUAAGGACUGCUUCACCAGUGGAGAAACAAGCAAGUGUAAUAUUUUCCAGGAAAGUGUUUGAUAUAUUUCAGGAACAGUUUGCAGAGUCCUUUGGGUACCAUGCAGAGAGGAUCGAGGAUAGGAUGCUACACAAGUACCGUGUGACAGUAGAUGAUGGUGACGAGGAGGCACAUAUUGUCUCUUUCAGUCCAGAUCAGAGUGCAGUGUGUUGCAGUUGUUGCUUGUUCGAGAGCUGUGGAAUCUUGUGCAGGCAUGCUCUUCGAGUUUUCAUCAUCGAAGGAGUGCGUUUCCUUCCAAAGGCCUAUGUCUUGAAACGCUGGUCAAAGCAUGCAAAAAGUACUGUCACCUUGGAUAACUACAUUGAUCUAAGGGGAUACCGUGAGGAUCCUUCAACUUCAAGGUACAAUGAUCUUUGCUAUGAUGCAAUCAAAUGUGCAAAAGAGGGCUCAACAUCUUCCGAGCGCUAUAAAAUAGCCAAAGAGACACUGCACAAGGCUCUUGAUGAGGUAAUGCCUGUAAGGAACAUUAGACAGCAAAAUCCGCAAAACAGUACAACAUCAUUAAAAUGUCCAGUUAAGAAGUCUGGGACGGAUAAAGGUACCUCUGGCAAGAGCUUAAACAGGCCAGCAUCCAAACAUUCCCUCAUGGAGAGCAAUGGUGGUAGAUGACCAGAUAUGAUGAAUUUUAACAUAGCAUGUUGGUUUGUGCCUGCAGGGGCCUACUUGAACUUCACAGGCAAUUUCAAAACCUAUUUGAAAUACUUUGAGGUGGGUGAAGGUUAUAUAACACAUAUAUAUGAGCUGCCACACUAAGCGUGCAAAUGGGCACUCAAUGAAGAGGGCAGUGCACAUAAGACUGCACCAUGAAUUGGCGGGAUGCGUGUGGGGUCCAUUGGAACGUAUCUGGCUCCUGUGCCAAGGCAACACCCCAAGCUGUGUCAUAAUGUCGUGCUAAGCAAGGAGUUCAGCACCGAUGAGUGCUCGUGGAAAGCUUAUAUUGUCGACUGCCGUGCUCUUGAUUUCUGCAGCAGUACGGAAAAGAGACUGCCAAAGGCCUGAAAAAGUGAGUGCCAUACAAGGAAUACGGUACAGUUUUGCUUAUACUAGGAUAUAGUAAUGUGCUGGUUACCCACCAUUGCUGUCCAACAAAUGCGGUUGCGGUUACGCAAUUUUUCAGAUUCUGAGUUCGCCAUUUCUCUAGUACUAUGAAUCAUUAAAGAUGAACAUAAUGCACUGAUUGCUAUGUCCAUUUUUUGAUGAUAAGCUGGUAGCGAUGUGGAGUACAACACCAGCUCCUCUAUCAUCUCUGAAAUGUAUUGUUUUUUUUUUUUUUUUUUUGAGAAACACCCUGGAAAGGUGUAUCAAUGUCUGGAAUGUAUUGCAGCAGGGGAAAGUUGUUCAAUUCUGCUGUUCAGCAAGCUUGUCGAAACUAGUGCUGAUGGCGAAAUGAAUAGUGGCACGGAGUUGUUGAACAGAAGCCUGUAUUCUCCAUUAUGGGAGCAAGUGCAAAGAAAAAGGAAGUUGCAGGUUGCUGUUGGAUCAGUUGAAGUUUUGCUGGAACAGCACGCCACAUGCGUGUAACGCCAAAGCUGUGUACGGUGAAAGGCUUGAGCACAGAGACAAGGAUCAUCGUGCCAAGAUGGAUCGGUCAAUACAGAAAGCAACGUAUGCAUGGUGCAAGAACUAGCUCGAGGAGGAUCCUUCAGUACAUUGACGGUUUGCACACUAACCACUGUGACAUCUUACCUGAGAACAGAAAAUGCGAGGAUGAACACCGACACCUCAAUCUCGGUCGUGUUUACAAAAGAAGCAGCGUGGCAUGUGCAGGAUCUUGCCUGAUCAUCAUCUUCCAUGUGUGCAAAGUGGAGGAGAUGGAAGUAGCUUUGAUGGUGGGUAUUCUUUCAGUUGCAGGUUGGAUAGUUAGGUGUUGUUGUAGCUGUCAGGAUCUGAAUGGAAGCAUUGCAAAGCUUCCUAAACUUCCAGGCCCAGGGGGGGACGUGUCCCAACAGUGGGUGCUUGAUUCUUCCUUGUAGAUGCUGUCUCCAUCUGCGUUGUUCAUCCCCACCAGAAACCCGCUGCGCGGCACCGGCCCACAGUAUCAGUAUCGUCAUCGUCGCUGCGGCGAGAUAGGAUAUGUGUGCCGUGUGUUGUCGCUGGCAUGGAGCUUGUGGCCGGACCGGAUAGAGCACCAUGCGGGCCUGCCAUUGGCCACCACGGGGCAUGCCUGCCUUUACCUUCUCCAGUUCUCCUUGGUUUUUUUUGCUUUGCUGAGUUCAUGUGCAUAAUUGUGGAGUAUAUAUUUGCACGGUUGCUGUAGCUCCAGUGCUCCAAUUCAAACAUUCCUUCUAAGAUAUGGUUAAAUUAUGUAUUCAUCAAUUAUACUGUAUUUUUUGGCGCUUGUAUUCUCCACUCUUUCCCCAAAAGAAUAAACUUAGUGUGGACAAGUUCAGUUA